ACGAACGCUGGCGGCGUGCCUAAUACAUGCAAGUAGAACGCUGAAGAGAGGAGCUUGCUCUUCUUGGAUGAGUUGCGAACGGGUGAGUAACGCGUAGGUAACCUGCCUUGUAGCGGGGGAUAACUAUUGGAAACGAUAGCUAAUACCGCAUAACAAUGGAUGACACAUGUCAUUUAUUUGAAAGGGGCAAUUGCUCCACUACAAGAUGGACUUGCGUUGUAUUUGUUAGUAGGUGAGGUAAUGGCGCACCUAGGCGACGAUACAUAGCCGACAUGGGAGGGUGGUCAGCCGAAAUGGGACUUGAACACGGCCCACGAUCCUGCAGGGAGGCGGCGGAGGGAAACGUUGGCAAUCGGGGGAAACCUGGCCGAGCAACGCCGGCGGGUGGAAGAAGGUUUUCGGAUUGGAAAGCUCUGUUUUAAGUUAAGAAAGGGUGUGAGGGUGGAAAGUUCACACUGUGACGGUAGCUUACCAGAAAGGAACGGCUAACUACGUG
RNAcentral lists this ribosomal RNA (496 nucleotides) under uncultured bacterium. RNAcentral describes it as "partial 16S ribosomal RNA". It matches the Rfam family "Bacterial small subunit ribosomal RNA", at positions 29 to 507 of the family's 1533-position model. The record is from RNAcentral.